GACCAGACUCCUACGGGAGGCAGCAGUGGGGAAUAUUGCACAAUGGGGGAAACCCUGAUGCAGCGACGCCGCGUGGGCGACGAAGCGCUCCGGCGCGUAAAGCCCUGUCAGCAGGGAAGAAAAAAGACAGUACCUGACCAAGAAGCCCCGGCUAACUACGUGCCAGCAGCCGCGGUAAUACGUAGGGGGCAAGCGUUAUCCGGAUUCACUGGGCGUAAAGGGGGCGCAGACGGCGAUGCAAGCCAGGAGUGAAAGCCCGGGGCCCAACCCCGGGACUGCUCUUGGAACUGCGUGGCUGGAGUGCAGGAGGGGCAGGCGGAAUUCCUGGUGUAGCGGUGAAAUGCGUAGAUAUCAGGAGGAACACCGGUGGCGAAGGCGGCCUGCUGGACUGCAACUGACGUUGAGGCCCGAAAGCGUGGGGAGCAAACAGGAUUAGAUACCCCAGUA
Molecule: ribosomal RNA, 447 nt
Filed under: uncultured bacterium
Lineage: Bacteria
Description: bacterial SSU rRNA
Rfam family: Bacterial small subunit ribosomal RNA
Source: RNAcentral